This 305-nucleotide ribosomal RNA is filed under the name uncultured bacterium. RNAcentral describes it as "bacterial SSU rRNA". It matches the Rfam family "Bacterial small subunit ribosomal RNA", at positions 334 to 653 of the family's 1533-position model. The record is from RNAcentral.
UUAACCUACGGGACGCAGCAGUAGGGAAUUUUCGGCAAUGGGGGGAACCCUGACCGAGCAACGCCGCGUGCAGGAAGAAGGUCUUCGGAUUGUAAACUGUUGUCGCAGGGGAAGAAGACAGUGACGGUACCCUGUGAGAAAGUCACGGCUAACUACGUGCCAGCAGCCGCGGUAAUACGUAGGUGACAAGCGUUGUCCGGAUUUACUGGGUGUAAAGGGCGCGUAGGCGGGAUAGCAAGUCAGUCGUGAAAUGCCGAGGCUUAACCUCGGAGCUGCGAUUGAAACUGUUAUUCUUGAGUAUCGGG